ACAGGCUUAACACAUGCAAGUCGAGGGGCAGCAUGGUCUUAGCUUGCUAAGGCCGAUGGCGACCGGCGCACGGGUGAGUAACACGUAUCCAACCUGCCGUCUACUCUUGGACAGCCUUCUGAAAGGAAGAUUAAUACAAGAUGGCAUCAUGAGUCCGCAUGUUCACAUGAUUAAAGGUAUUCCGGUAGACGAUGGGGAUGCGUUCCAUUAGAUAGUAGGCGGGGUAACGGCCCACCUAGUCUUCGAUGGAUAGGGGUUCUGAGAGGAAGGUCCCCCACAUUGGAACUGAGACACGGUCCAAACUCCUACGGGAGGCAGCAGUGAGGAAUAUUGGUCAAUGGGCGAGAGCCUGAACCAGCCAAGUAGCGUGAAGGAUGACUGCCCUAUGGGUUGUAAACUUCUUUUAUAAAGGAAUAAAGUCGGGUAUGGAUACCCGUUUGCAUGUACUUUAUGAAUAAGGAUCGGCUAACUCCGUGCCAGCAGCCGCGGUAAUACGGAGGAUCCGAGCGUUAUCCGGAUUUAUUGGGUUUAAAGGGAGCGUAGAUGGAUGUUUAAGUCAGUUGUGAAAGUUUGCGGCUCAACCGUAAAAUUGCAGUUGAUACUGGAUAUCUUGAGUGCAGUUGAGGCAGGCGGAAUUCGUGGUGUAGCGGUGAAAUGCUUAGAUAUCACGAAGAACUCCGAUUGCGAAGGCAGCCUGCUAAGCUGCAACUGACAUUGAGGCUCGAAAGUGUGGGUAUCAAACAGGAUUAGAUACCCUGGUAGUCCACACGGUAAACGAUGAAUACUCGCUGUUUGCGAUAUACAGCAAGCGGCCAAGCGAAAGCGUUAAGUAUUCCACCUGGGGAGUACGCCGGCAACGGUGAAACUCAAAGGAAUUGACGGGGGCCCGCACAAGCGGAGGAACAUGUGGUUUAAUUCGAUGAUACGCGAGGAACCUUACCCGGGCUUAAAUUGCAGAUGAAUUACGGUGAAAGCCGUAAGCCGCAAGGCAUCUGUGAAGGUGCUGCAUGGUUGUCGUCAGCUCGUGCCGUGAGGUGUCGGCUUAAGUGCCAUAACGAGCGCAACCCUUGUUGUCAGUUACUAACAGGUUCCGCUGAGGACUCUGACAAGACUGCCAUCGUAAGAUGUGAGGAAGGUGGGGAUGACGUCAAAUCAGCACGGCCCUUACGUCCGGGGCUACACACGUGUUACAAUGGGGGGUACAGAGGGCCGCUACCACGCGAGUGGAUGCCAAUCCCCAAAACCUCUCUCAGUUCGGACUGGAGUCUGCAACCCGACUCCACGAAGCUGGAUUCGCUAGUAAUCGCGCACCAGCCACGGCGCGGUGAAUACGUUCCCGGGCCUUGUACAC
RNAcentral lists this ribosomal RNA (1351 nucleotides) under uncultured bacterium. RNAcentral describes it as "bacterial SSU rRNA". It matches the Rfam family "Bacterial small subunit ribosomal RNA", at positions 42 to 1388 of the family's 1533-position model. The record is from RNAcentral.